CUUUAGGGCUAGCGUCGCGCGUUCACCGCCGGAGGUAGAGCACCGGAUGGACGAGGGGGCUUCGCCGCCUACCGAAUCCAACCGAACUCCGAAUGCCGGCGGCCCAGAGCGCGGCAGUCAGAGCAUGUGGGCUAAGCUGUGUGCUCGAGAGGGAAACAGCCCGGACCGCCCGCUAAGGUCCCCAAGUUCCAGCCGAGUGGCAAAGGAUGUGCGUCCGCCCAGACAACCAGGAUGUUGGCUUAGAAGCAGCCAUCCAUUCAAAGAGUGCGUAACAGCUCACUGGUCGAGUGGAC
Molecule: ribosomal RNA, 293 nt
Filed under: Vibrio cholerae
Lineage: Bacteria; Pseudomonadati; Pseudomonadota; Gammaproteobacteria; Vibrionales; Vibrionaceae
Description: partial 23S ribosomal RNA
Rfam family: Bacterial large subunit ribosomal RNA
Source: RNAcentral